GUAAAAUACGCGAACGCGCUGAACUGAAACAUCUAAGUAGGCGUAGGAGAAGAAAAUAAUAAUGAUUUCCCAAGUAGUGGCGAGCGAACGGGAAAGAGCCCAAACCAAUAAUGUUACGGCAUUUUUGGGGUUGUAGGGCUGCGAUAUGGCAUUAGCAAACAGAAGUGGAAUGGGAUGGGAAGCCCAGCGAUACACGGUGAUAGCCCUGUACACGUAUAGAAUGCUAGCCUAGCAGUACCCUGAGUACCGCG
This 251-nucleotide ribosomal RNA is filed under the name Sphingobacterium sp. B16(2022). Its description in RNAcentral is "partial 23S ribosomal RNA". It matches the Rfam family "Bacterial large subunit ribosomal RNA", at positions 170 to 419 of the family's 2925-position model. The record is from RNAcentral. Lineage: Bacteria; Pseudomonadati; Bacteroidota; Sphingobacteriia; Sphingobacteriales; Sphingobacteriaceae.